AUCGGCCCGCGUCUGAUUAGCUAGUUGGUGGGGUAACGGCCUACCAAGGCGACGAUCAGUAGCUGGUCUGAGAGGAUGAUCAGCCACACUGGGACUGAGACACGGCCCAGACUCCUACGGGAGGCAGCAGUGGGGAAUAUUGGACAAUGGGCGCAAGCCUGAUCCAGCCAUGCCGCGUGAGUGAUGAAGGCCUUAGGGUUGUAAAGCUCUUUUAUCCGGGACGAUAAUGACGGUACCGGAGGAAUAAGCCCCGGCUAACUUCGUGCCAGCAGCCGCGGUAAUACGAAGGGGGCUAGCGUUGCUCGGAAUCACUGGGCGUAAAGGGCGCGUAGGCGGCGUUUUAAGUCGGGGGUGAAAGCCUGUGGCUCAACCACAGAAUGGCCUUCGAUACUGGGACGCUUGAGUAUGGUAGAGGUUGGUGGAACUGCGGAGUGUAGAGGUGAAAUUCGUAGAUAUUCGCAAGAACACCGGUGGCGAAGGCGGCCAACUGGACCAUUACUGACGCUGAGCGCGAAAGCGUGGGGAGCAAAACAGGAUUAGAUACCCUGGUAGUCCACGCCGUAAACNAUGAAUGCCAGCUGUUGGGGUGCUUGCACCGCAGUAGCGCAGCUAACGCUUUGAGCAUUCCGCCUGGGGAGUACGGUCGCAAGA
RNAcentral lists this ribosomal RNA (651 nucleotides) under uncultured bacterium. RNAcentral's name for it is "bacterial SSU rRNA". It matches the Rfam family "Bacterial small subunit ribosomal RNA", at positions 225 to 893 of the family's 1533-position model. The record is from RNAcentral.